UCUUGGUGUGCUCUUGCCACGCCGAGACAAGAGUCAUAUCAGUGGAGAUUUUCUUUCCUGGGACACGGUUGCGCUGAACUAUCUGAGAUGCCUUUUCAUCUAAUUGAAUUUCAGGCAAGCGAGGACAUUGCUGUUGUGCCAGUUGACUGGUAUGAUGACGUGAUGGUGUACUGGCCCAGCUGAACGUGUGAAACGGGCAGCUGCUAACGAGGAGAAGCAUGAGCCAAACUGGCCAAGAUAUGACGUAAAGGUCGUCAGAACUUGUGACAACUACAAAGACGCCAUCAGGCUAAUGAAUCAAUAUCAGACCGGUUACAACGCCUCUGAGCUACAGUCUGAGGCAGAGCAGGAGGGAUAGCUGCCAGAGAAAUAAGUCAGGAAGCCAAUCCAUCGUUUUGGGGACUCUGAUGAGAGUGAAGAAGAGUUUCCCCUAGGACAAUUGGAGGCAGUGGAGGCAUUUGAAAUGUUUUUAAAGGAACCGUCAAAUGGCCCAGCUCGACAGAGCGUGGUGCUGUGAGGAAAAACACAGUGACACGGUCAGCCACGGACGCAGAGGUCACCAAGCACGCAAUCAGGUGGUUCAACCUGGCAGCGGAUCGGGCAACGAGGAGACGUGUCCCGCCUCAAGCCACACAAACGGAGUAAUAGGAGAAAUAAGCAAUAGACAAUAUUUUUAUUGAACUUCUUGUCGUUCACCAGUUAUUAAUUUUCUGAUAUUUUAGCUGUGCAUUUCAUUGAAGUUUUAGCCUAAUGGAUAAAAUAUUUUAUGUCUGCACCGACCUGGGCCUAUAAAGCACUAAAUUAGGUUUUGACCACAAAAUGAAUGUAAAGCAGCUUAGCCAACGUAGGCUACUUAACAAAAACGGAAUAGAAAGAACUUGUAACUUUCCAUAAAUGUAAAUGACAAUUUUAUAUUUCCAUUAAGUAGUGAUUACUUUUGUACAGUG
Molecule: long non-coding RNA, 947 nt
Organism: Esox lucius (northern pike)
Lineage: Eukaryota; Metazoa; Chordata; Actinopteri; Esociformes; Esocidae
Exons: 5
Source: RefSeq, a predicted model, not a curated record